GCAGAAUAGAUCAGUGAAAUGUCCAACUUGAUGUUAGGUUAGAAAGAGUGUAGGCCAAUUAAUCUAUUUGUAAAUAAUGGUUAAGAAAGUCUUAUACAUGCAAAUGCUCAUGCUCAACAACUCUCUAAAAAAAUGAACUCACUGUAAAAUAUCUGAUUAUUCUAUACGAUAACUCACCAAGUUUGUAAAGAGUAAUGGUCAAAUGUUCCCCCCUUAUAUGUCUUACAAAAUCCCUAAACUUGGAUGACAGUUGUAGGGAAGGAGGCCCUGGUGGUGCAUAUACCAAAGGGAAUCAAGAGUAGUUCGUUUGAGAAGUAUUGGUUUUUUUAUUAUAUUAAAACCAUAGCACUUCCAUUUAUUAGCCGUCUUGUUGGUAAAAAAAAUGUAUAUAUUUUUUAGGAAACACUUUAGCAGGCCACCUCUAAAUUGACAUAAUAAAAAAUGCAUUGCUAGCAAUGUACACGUCAUUUUUUACCAGGGAACUCACACUUAAUCCAGCCUCUGGAUGUAGCUUUCUUUCGGCCAAUGAAAAUUGCAUGAUGUAUAAUUAUUCAAGAUAGGAAGGUAAAACCUGGUCAAAAUGAAGCUACCAUACCAACAAGUAUGUUACAGUAGCAGGCAAAUCACAAAAUGUCAUUUCAGUGUUUAGGAAGGUAUUGUGCUUGUAUAUCGUAACUAGUUUGUGAAGAUGCUGUCAAUAUGUCUCAAGUGAAUCACGACAGUCUUCAGGAGCCUAACUGGUAACUCCACCUCGGCCUCGUUGCCGCUAUAAUUGGUGUUCUUUCAAAGAACUUUCAAAGCUCCAAGAAAUCCAGGUACAACUAGAUCACAGAAAAAGAGUUAAAGUAGCUUUUUAAGCCUGGAAAGAGUGUUUUCCACUACAGAGUUUACAUUAACAGCUCAUCCAGAUCAGAACUCGCCAAGCGUAUCUGACACUAAUACCGGUACAAUUAAGAAGAAAAAUAAAAAUUAUGUUUAUGAGGCAUAGUCAUCAGAAGAAAACGGCCUAUUCUGCUCAUGACGGCGAUGAAGAUCUCAUAAUAUUUGACUAUACGGCAGAUCUUGAGAAUUCAAGCCACUUUCAAGAGUUUAACACAUGCUUUCAACAUGUUUUUGCAGUCGUAAAAUUGAAUGGAAAAACUCAAAAUACGUUUAGAGUGUACAUUUGCAAAGUCAUUCAGUAUCAAAAUAAUGCUCAUAUUGAACUUUUUACAAGAUAUAUUUGAACAGCAAUACAUUUUAACAACUGAAGAGGAAUGACAACACCAAAAACUUAUGGCACCUGCAGAUGCCACCACAUCAUUAAAACGUUUGAAAAAUAAAAUUAGUUUCCUUGCUGAUCUUAGUGAAUUUAUUAAGUUAAUAUGGCCAGACAGACUACUUUUGUAAUGUUUUCUUUUUAUUUCAACUAUAUUAUUAUUAUGUAUAAAAGUAAAUUUGACACCCAAUACAUUUUAUGUUCAUUGA
Homalodisca vitripennis (glassy-winged sharpshooter) is the source of this 1467-nucleotide long non-coding RNA. RefSeq lists it as uncharacterized. The transcript is spliced from 2 exons. The record is from RefSeq and is a predicted model, not a curated record. Lineage: Eukaryota; Metazoa; Arthropoda; Insecta; Hemiptera; Cicadellidae.